CCUAUCAUGCAAGUCUGAGCGGGCCAGAACGAAAGGCAACUGGUAGUUCUGGUUUAGCGGCGCACGGGUGAGUAACGCGUUAGGUAAUCUACUCUGAAGACCGGGAUAACACCAUCGAAAGGGGUGCUAAUACCGGAUACGCUCCUUCCCUCGACGGANGGGAGGAGGAAAGGUGGCUUAAGGCGCAAGCCUGCUACCACUUCGGAAUGAGCCUGCGUCCUAUUAGCUAGUUGGUGGGGUAAUGGCCCACCAAGGCUAUGAUGGGUAGCUGGUCUGAGAGGACGGUCAGCCACACUGGGACUGAGACACGGCCCAGACUCCUACGGGAGGCAGCAGUAGGGAAUAUUGGGCAAUGGGCGAAAGCCUGACCCAGCGACGCCGCGUGGGCGAUGAAGGUCUUUGGAUUGUAAAGCCCUUUUCAGGGAGACGAAGGGAUCGCCGGGGAAUACCUGGUGAUCUUUGACGGUAUCUCUGGAAUAAGCCCCGGCUAACUACGUGCCAGCAGCCGCGGUAAUACGUAGGGGGCAAGCGUUGUCCGGAAUUACUGGGUGUAAAGGGCGUGUAUGGCGACCCCUUGAGUUGAAUGUGAAAUCUCCCGGCUCAACUGGGAGGGGUCAUUCAAUACUGAUGGGAUUUGAGGGCA
This 643-nucleotide ribosomal RNA is filed under the name uncultured bacterium. RNAcentral describes it as "bacterial SSU rRNA". It matches the Rfam family "Bacterial small subunit ribosomal RNA", at positions 47 to 650 of the family's 1533-position model. The record is from RNAcentral.